RNAcentral lists this ribosomal RNA (972 nucleotides) under Prolinoborus sp. CB 286443. RNAcentral's name for it is "bacterial SSU rRNA". It matches the Rfam family "Bacterial small subunit ribosomal RNA", at positions 95 to 1062 of the family's 1533-position model. The record is from RNAcentral. Lineage: Bacteria; Pseudomonadati; Pseudomonadota; Betaproteobacteria; Neisseriales; Neisseriaceae.
GCGGCGGACGGGUGAGUAAUGCUUAGGAAUCUGCCUAUUAGUGGGGGACAACAUCUCGAAAGGGAUGCUAAUACCGCAUACGUCCUACGGGAGAAAGCAGGGGACCUUCGGGCCUUGCGCUAAUAGAUGAGCCUAAGUCGGAUUAGCUAGUUGGUGGGGUAAAGGCCUACCAAGGCGACGAUCUGUAGCGGGUCUGAGAGGAUGAUCCGCCACACUGGGACUGAGACACGGCCCAGACUCCUACGGGAGGCAGCAGUGGGGAAUAUUGGACAAUGGGGGGAACCCUGAUCCAGCCAUGCCGCGUGUGUGAAGAAGGCCUUUUGGUUGUAAAGCACUUUAAGCGAGGAGGAGGCUACCGAGAUUAAUACUCUUGGAUAGUGGACGUUACUCGCAGAAUAAGCACCGGCUAACUCUGUGCCAGCAGCCGCGGUAAUACAGAGGGUGCAAGCGUUAAUCGGAUUUACUGGGCGUAAAGCGCGCGUAGGUGGCCAAUUAAGUCAAAUGUGAAAUCCCCGAGCUUAACUUGGGAAUUGCAUUCGAUACUGGUUGGCUAGAGUAUGGGAGAGGAUGGUAGAAUUCCAGGUGUAGCGGUGAAAUGCGUAGAGAUCUGGAGGAAUACCGAUGGCGAAGGCAGCCAUCUGGCCUAAUACUGACACUGAGGUGCGAAAGCAUGGGGAGCAAACAGGAUUAGAUACCCUGGUAGUCCAUGCCGUAAACGAUGUCUACUAGCCGUUGGGGCCUUUGAGGCUUUAGUGGCGCAGCUAACGCGAUAAGUAGACCGCCUGGGGAGUACGGUCGCAAGACUAAAACUCAAAUGAAUUGACGGGGGCCCGCACAAGCGGUGGAGCAUGUGGUUUAAUUCGAUGCAACGCGAAGAACCUUACCUGGUCUUGACAUAGUAAGAACUUUCCAGAGAUGGAUUGGUGCCUUCGGGAACUUACAUACAGGUGCUGCAUGGCUGUCGUCAGCUCG